GAUGUGAAGUGAUAAUCUACAUCUUAUGUAUUUUCCUCAAUCCUCAUCAACUGGGACACUAAAUUUCAGUGGAGAAGAAUACAGUUUUGCCUCCAGUCUCGGUGUAGCAUGGUACAUGUCGCCCUCUCUCUGGCAGAAUAUGUACAGCCUUUCCUCUGGCAGGAUGGCUGAACUGGGCUCAUCGACUGAUGUCGGCAUCCGGCCACAGAAAAAGAAAUUAGUCCCAGUACUUAAUCAAGCCAUCCCAACCGCAAGUUGCAACUUUACUUUGCUCCAGUGGAUGCCACUCACAACGAAUGCUCACUCCCUCAUGACACUUAAGAGUCCUGAAAACUUUGCAACUCUUCCAGUCCCAAAACCAGCACUUACCCUCACCAUCUCCUGACAUAACGAAUCGUCCAUCUGGUGAGAAAUUGACUUGGCAAGCAUAACCUGCCACAAUAUGCCCGGCAAACCUC
This 458-nucleotide unclassified non-coding RNA is filed under the name Hevea brasiliensis (rubber tree). The record is from RNAcentral. Lineage: Eukaryota; Viridiplantae; Streptophyta; Magnoliopsida; Malpighiales; Euphorbiaceae.